This 468-nucleotide ribosomal RNA is filed under the name uncultured bacterium. RNAcentral's name for it is "partial 16S ribosomal RNA". It matches the Rfam family "Bacterial small subunit ribosomal RNA", at positions 28 to 507 of the family's 1533-position model. The record is from RNAcentral.
GACGAACGCUGGCGGCGUGCUUAACACAUGCAAGUCGAACGGAAAGGCCCUGCUUUUGUGGGGUGCUCGGGUGGCGAACGGGUAAGUAACACGUAAGUAACCUGCCCUUGUCUUUGGGAUAACUUCAGGAAAGUAGGGCUAAUACCAGAUAGGAGCUCCUGCUGCAUGGUGGGGGUUGGAAAUUUUCGGCUGUUGGGGAUGGACUCGCGGGUUAUCAGCUUGUUGGUGGGGUAGUGGCUUACCAAGGCUUUGGCGGGUAGCCGGCCGGGGAGGGUGACCGGCCACCAUGGGACUGAGAGACGGACCAGAGGCCUACGGGAGGCAGUAGGGGGGAAUCUUGGCCAAUGGGACGAAGUCUGAUGCAGAAACCCCGGGUGCGGGAAGACCGUCUUUGGGGUGGAAAACGCAUUAGCCUGUGACCCAGCGUGAGUGACGGUAACCGGUAAAGAAGCACCGGCUAACUUCGUG